GGGCUGCUAGCUCAACUAGGCAGAGCAAAUGACUCUUAAUCAUUAGGUUGCUGGUUCGAUUCCAGCGCAGCCCACCA
This 77-nucleotide transfer RNA is filed under the name Desulfobacterales bacterium. Its description in RNAcentral is "tRNA-Lys". It matches the Rfam family "tRNA". Rfam says of the family: Transfer RNA (tRNA) molecules are approximately 80 nucleotides in length. Their secondary structure includes four short double-helical elements and three loops (D, anti-codon, and T loops). Lineage: Bacteria; Pseudomonadati; Thermodesulfobacteriota; Desulfobacteria; Desulfobacterales. The record is from RNAcentral. RNAcentral also lists the same sequence under 3 other names.